GAUGAAGAACGUAGCGAAAUGCGAUAAGUAAUGUGAAUUGCAGAAUUCAGUGAAUCAUCGAAUCUUUGAACGCACAUUGCGCCCGCCAGUUUUCUGGCGGGCAUGCCUGUCUGAGCGUCAUUUCAACCCUCAUGCCCCUAGGGCGUGGUGUUGGGGAUCGGCCAAAGCCCGCGAGGGACGGCCGGCCCCUAAAUCUAGUGGCGGACCCGUCGUGGCCUCCUCUGCGAAGUAGUGAUAUUCCGCAUCGGAGAGCGACGAGCCCCUGCCGUUAAACCCCCAACUUUCCAAGGUUGACCUCAGAUCAGGUAGGAAUACCCGCUGAACUUAAGCAUAUCAAUAAGCGGAGGA
This 348-nucleotide unclassified non-coding RNA is filed under the name soil metagenome. RNAcentral's name for it is "partial contains 5.8S ribosomal RNA, internal transcribed spacer 2, and large subunit ribosomal RNA". The stretch from base 1 to 120 matches the Rfam family "5.8S ribosomal RNA", at positions 35 to 154 of the family's 154-position model. The record is from RNAcentral.